UACAGAGGUCUCAAGCGUUGUUCGGAUUCAUUGGGCGUAAAGGGUGCGUAGGUGGCGUGGUAAGUCGGAUGUGAAAUCCCGGGGCUCAACCCCGGAACUGCAUUCGAUACUGCCAUGCUAGAGUACUGGAGAGGAGAUUGGAAUUUACGGUGUAGCAGGUGAAAUGCGUAGAUAUCGUAAGGAAGACCAGUGGCGAAGGCGGAUCUCUGGACAGUUACUGACACUGAGGCACGAAGGCCAGGGGAGCGAAACGGG
Molecule: ribosomal RNA, 255 nt
Filed under: uncultured bacterium
Lineage: Bacteria
Description: partial 16S ribosomal RNA
Rfam family: Bacterial small subunit ribosomal RNA
Source: RNAcentral